Molecule: ribosomal RNA, 781 nt
Filed under: uncultured Dialister sp.
Lineage: Bacteria; Bacillati; Bacillota; Negativicutes; Veillonellales; Veillonellaceae
Description: bacterial SSU rRNA
Rfam family: Bacterial small subunit ribosomal RNA
Source: RNAcentral
GACGAACGCUGGCGGCGUGCUUAACACAUGCAAGUCGAACGAAAAGACGGAAAGAGCUUGCUCUUUUCAGAAUUGAGUGGCAAACGGGUGAGUAACACGUAAACAACCUGCCUUCAGGAUGGGGACAACAGACGGAAACGACUGCUAAUACCGAAUAAGUUCCAAGAGCCGCAUGGCCCAUGGAAGAAAAGGUGGCCUCUACCUGUAAGCUAUCGCCUGAAGAGGGGUUUGCGUCUGAUUAGCUGGUUGGAGGGGUAACGGCCCACCAAGGCGACGAUCAGUAGCCGGUCUGAGAGGAUGAACGGCCACACUGGAACUGAGACACGGUCCAGACUCCUACGGGAGGCAGCAGUGGGGAAUCUUCCGCAAUGGGCGAAAGCCUGACGGAGCAACGCCGCGUGAGUGAUGACGGCCUUCGGGUUGUAAAACUCUGUGAUCCGGGACGAAAAGGCAGAGUGCGAAGAACAAACUGCAUUGACGGUACCGGAAAAGCAAGCCACGGCUAACUACGUGCCAGCAGCCGCGGUAAUACGUAGGUGGCAAGCGUUGUCCGGAAUUAUUGGGCGUAAAGCGCGCGCAGGCGGCUUCCCAAGUCCCUCUUAAAAGUGCGGGGCUUAACCCCGUGAUGGGAAGGAAACUGGGAAGCUGGAGUAUCGGAGAGGAAAGUGGAAUUCCUAGUGUAGCGGUGAAAUGCGUAGAGAUUAGGAAGAACACCGGUGGCGAAGGCGACUUUCUGGACGAAAACUGACGCUGAGGCGCGAAAGCGUGGGGAGCAAACAGG